CUUGGUGGUCUUGGAGGCGGGGGUACACCCGAUCCCAUUCCGAACUCGGAAGUUAAGCCCGCCAUCGCCGAUGAUACUGCGGUUCAAUCGUGGGAAAGUAGGUCGCCGCCAAGACUUUUUUUCAAAAGGCCCUGUCACUCGACAGGGCCUUUUUUGCGUUUGCCAUUCGGGGGGGGGGGGGGGGGGGGGGGG
Molecule: ribosomal RNA, 192 nt
Filed under: Humidesulfovibrio mexicanus
Lineage: Bacteria; Pseudomonadati; Thermodesulfobacteriota; Desulfovibrionia; Desulfovibrionales; Desulfovibrionaceae
Source: RNAcentral